GUCAUCAUCUCCCAACCCAAGAAACCCUAUCCUUUCCUCAUAAAGUAAAUUAACUUUCUUUUCACUUUAAUCAUCUGAAACCCUAGAGGCAGUGGCCAGCCAGCAGGGAGGGAAGAAGAUCACAUCUCAUCAAAAGGCUGUCUGUUUUGUCCUUUCUGCUUAACUUGUCAAAAUUGUUUUGAUCUUUGUGUGCAAGAGAAAGAGAGAGAAAGAGAGAGGUACCCCGGUGCUGUUGACAGAAGAUAGAGAGCACAGAUGAGGAUGUGCCAUUAGAGAGUGUUUCUGCAUCUCCCUCCUUUGUGCUCUUUAUGCUUCUGUCAUCUCACCCUCUUCAGUCCCUCUAUUUUUUUUUUUUUCUCGUUUUGUUUUGUGAAAUCUAACUGAUCUGGGUUGUGUCCUCCAUUCAAACAUUAGGCCUUUCUUGCCCGCUGAAUCAUUUAUAGCUUCUUCUUCAGCUCCCUUUUUGCAGUCCGCUACUGGAGAAGGAAGAGAGCAACUUAGACAGUUUCUGAUCCUAUUUGCAAGGUAUUGAACUUGGAUUCCACAUUGAAGGUAAUGUGUGGUUUAUAUAGUUUGGGGCUCUCUCACCCGAACGACUAGCUUUUAGCAAGUGAUUCACUCGAUAUAGAGUUAUGGAAGCUUGUAUACAAUAUUGAGGUAAAAAAUAAGAGGACAGAUGAUGAAGCGUUCGGGUCUGGAAACUUAAAGUCAGCCUUUGUUCAUAGAGAAUGAAUUGAAGAUACCCACUAAAGUUUAUGAGGGCUCAUGAUCUGGAGCAGAAUCCCUGAAGUUCAUAAUUAUUUUUAGGAACUACAUCUUGAUAGCUGGUCAUUGUUUGUUAGGUCUUUGGCUCUGAUCUUUUAUGCUUUUUCACACGUAACUGAAGUCUAUCUUCUAUUGGGAAUUGCCUCCCUUGGAAAGAAAUCGAACUACAAGUUGGAUGGGAAAGAAUAAUCAGAUAUUAGACCAUCGGUAUAAGUUGCGUGCUCUAAAUUGUUGUGUGCACACCAACGCAUCAUGGUUCAGAUGCAUAGGUUCCAUCUCAUUGAGAAAUAAAUGGCCUCUUUUAUUGAUCUGAUGAACUUAAUACAUGCUUCACUUCCCCAUUACAAAUAGCAGGGAUGAUUCGCCAACAAAACAAUAAGUAGCUAGAUGUGGAAACCAAAGUACCACUUGGUUGGUGGGAGAGGUGCCUAUUCUAAGUUACAUGUGUGGUCAGGGAUUAUUCUUUUUUAUUGUUCUGAGAACUGCCAAUGCUAAUUGGAAGCCUCAAUGGCAUCAAACAUUCGUUUAGAAGUUACAAUGACAGCGUGGUAAUAGUGACAGUGGACAAUGGUUUAGCUUUGUCAGUGGGUUAGGUUUGUUCUUUCUUCCUGUUCUUCUUUGUUGCGAUUAUGAUCGAGGUGUGAAGCAUCUACAAAUGUUGGGCAAAAUUAUGCAUUUGAUGUGCAAGGUUAGAAGCUUAAUUAACCUUUGCGAGCAAUCUUUCAACUGUUUUUACCUACAGUUACGCUUAAUCCUUUUGAGGUGGAUAGAACACAACCAACUCGAGCUUAGAAAUCUGUCUUUUUAUCUUUGUAGUAAACUGGCAUGUCAUGUUAUCCCAAACAUCAGGGAGCCGGACUAACAGCUAUGGCGCAGAAAAUUUCAUCAAGAAGAGGGGAGCUUGUGUAUACAAGUAUUACUACUUCUGGUAAUGUUAACUAGAGAAGUUAGUUUUCACAAGCGGCAUUGAGGCAUUUACAAUAGUUUGUUUAGUUCAGUCGUACACACUCACCACUAAAUUCACAUUGCCUGCAGAAAAUACAUCGGCUGGUGGUGUUUUGCAAUGAAAAUUCAUCGCCCUAAUCAGCAUUAAGCUUCUAACUGAUGAUAGAGCAGAAUGAUUAGCAUGCAUGUAUAUCUUGGGCUAAUGUUUCGAUAAGAGCGUCACAAGCCCGCUAUGGAAUGGAGAGGACUUGAGGGAGUUCGAGAUUAAAGGUUUGCUGGGGAACGCGAUUUCUCGUGGUAUGUACAUCUAUACAGACAUUUGACUGAUGGACUAGGGUCUAUAAGAAAGGAAAUUGUCUAAAGGCCUUCCACUUUGGUCAGAGGUUCAUCAAGACAUGAAGUGCUACGAGUUUAGAGCAUGGACUUCACGAAAAUCAAAGAAAUUGCUUUUGAGGCUCUAGUCUGUUUGACGUGGCUUUCUUUUUUGUGAAUUCCCACCCUUAGGCCCUCCAAACAUAAUUCUGUUGUUUUAUUCAUUAUGGUGUGGAAAUUACCGCACCGCAGAGCUCAUGGACCAUGUAAGCCGCGAGCCAAAAUCUCUGUGUAGCUCGAACAUGAAAAAUUUAAACAUGGGGAUUUAAGAAAUCAGAAUCGUUGGUUGUGGUGGUGGAGAAGAGGAGUUACAGACUUGAGAUUGCUCUCACGCUGGUUUUACAAGGCAAAUCUGAUCAAGAAAGUCUGCAACAUUUUAGAACACAGCAAGUCAUAAUUCUUCGAUGAAACUAAUAUUAAUCUUUGAAUAAUUUCAUUAAGAUAUAUCCAUGAGACAUUGCUUAAGCUGUCUAAGCAACAUGAUUAAGUGACAUGAUAAUGGUUAUGGUGCAAAACAAUAUCCCUUACGCUCCGCAUUUCUCUAUCGUCAAUUCAUUGUUUACGGUUUAUUUAGCUUUCCUUUUUGUUUUACCGUCGUUUAGAGACGAAAAGAUCAUCAUUCAAAUGAUCACUCUGAAUGUUGCACUUGAUUAUCAGCUCAUAAUAUGACAUCACAUCGACACAAGUAAAAAAUGCGCACUCCACAGCCAUUCUUCAAUAUUGCAUGCAUAAGUAUACACAUCCAGUCGCGCCAAUGUGGGAAAAGGUUUGUGUCCAAGAUGUGUACUUAAAAUUGUCAAUGCAAAAGUUGUAUAGAGUCUUCAGUUUCCAUGCUUUUGGACUCAUGACCCCAAAUGAUCAACUUGCAGAAUCAAAUCAAGUACAAGUGGCAAGAUUUCAAAUCUAUCAUAAUGACAUGAUUGAUCACCGGAAUGACGUGACAUGAGUAAGAAGAUAUCAACUGAGAAGGUCUAAGAAGCUGAGAAGCUGAGGAUGGAUGGAUGGUCGAAGCAAUGGCACCAUUAAGAAUCAGAAAUGCCUUGAGCUCAGGAGGUGCAUCAGGCUAAGCAUGAAGAAGUACAAGGAAAGGAUUUAAGAGUAUGUGUGCCUGGAACAAAUUCGGUUCGGAGACAACGAUGUUGUGCUUCGAUGGGAGCCUAAAGAGGGAAAAAAAAA
Molecule: long non-coding RNA, 3258 nt
Organism: Eucalyptus grandis
Lineage: Eukaryota; Viridiplantae; Streptophyta; Magnoliopsida; Myrtales; Myrtaceae
Exons: 2
Source: RefSeq, a predicted model, not a curated record